UACGUAGGCAGCGAGCGUUGUUCGGAGUUACUGGGCGUAAAGCGUGCGUAGGCGGUGUCUUAAGUUUGUUGUGAAAUCUCCCGGCUUAACCGGGAGGGUGCGGCGAAUACUGAGAUGCUGGAGUGCCGGAGAGGUAAGCGGAAUUCCUGGUGUAGCGGUGAAAUGCGUAGAUAUCAGGAGGAACACCAGUGGCGAAGGCGACUUACUGGACACAUAUUGACGCUGAGGUGCGAAAGCGUGGGGAGCAAACAGG
RNAcentral lists this ribosomal RNA (253 nucleotides) under uncultured bacterium. RNAcentral describes it as "partial 16S ribosomal RNA". It matches the Rfam family "Bacterial small subunit ribosomal RNA", at positions 524 to 776 of the family's 1533-position model. The record is from RNAcentral.